RNAcentral lists this ribosomal RNA (468 nucleotides) under uncultured bacterium. RNAcentral's name for it is "partial 16S ribosomal RNA". It matches the Rfam family "Bacterial small subunit ribosomal RNA", at positions 28 to 523 of the family's 1533-position model. The record is from RNAcentral.
GAUGAACGCUGGCGGCGUGCCUAACACAUGCAAGUCGAGCGAUUCUCUUCGGAGAAGAGCGGCGGACGGGUGAGUAACGCGUGGGUAACCUGCCCUAUACACACGGAUAACGUACCGAAAGGUAAGCUAAUACGAGAUAACAUAAGAAAUUCGCAUGGAUUUUUUAUCAAAGCUCUGGCGGUAUAGGAUGGACCCGCGUCUGAUUAGCUAGUUGGUAAGGUAAUGGCUUACCACGGCGACGAUCAGUAGCCGACCUGAGAGGGUGAUCGGCCACAUUGGAACUAGGACACGGUCCAAACUCCUACGGGAGGCAGCAGUGGGGAAUAUUGCACAAUGGGCGAAAGCCUGAUGCAGCAACGCCGCGUGAGCGAUGAAGGCCUUCGGGUCGUAAAGCUCUGUCCUCAAGGAAGAUAAUGACGGUACUUGAGGAGGAAGCCCCGGCUAACUACGUGCCAGCCGCCGCCGUAA